RNAcentral lists this ribosomal RNA (253 nucleotides) under uncultured bacterium. RNAcentral's name for it is "partial 16S ribosomal RNA". It matches the Rfam family "Bacterial small subunit ribosomal RNA", at positions 524 to 776 of the family's 1533-position model. The record is from RNAcentral.
UACAGAGGUCUCAAGCGUUGUUCGGAUUCAUUGGGCGUAAAGUGUGUGUAGGUGGCGCUGUAAGUCGGGUGUGAAAUCUCGGGGCUUAACUCCGAAACUGCAUUCGAUACUGCGGUGCUUGAGGACUGGAGAGGAGACUGGAAUUCAUGGUGUAGCAGUGAAAUGCGUAGAGAUCAUGAGGAAGACCAGUGGCGAAGGCGGGUCUCUGGACAGUUCCUGACACUGAGACACGAAGGCCAGGGGAGCAAACGGG